Molecule: long non-coding RNA, 1126 nt
Organism: Eptesicus fuscus (big brown bat)
Lineage: Eukaryota; Metazoa; Chordata; Mammalia; Chiroptera; Vespertilionidae
Exons: 3
Source: RefSeq, a predicted model, not a curated record
GUCUCAGGGACCCUCGGAGAAGAGGCUGCCGUCGGCCAGGCCUCUUGUGCCCCAGCUGUGAGCCAGGAACGUCAACAAAUCCCAUUGGCUCUGCUUCCCAAAUGGCUCCCUUCAGGUCCAAACCACCAUCCUCUCCUGCCCGGACGCACCAGCCGGCCUCCCACAGGUCCUUCCACUCCUGCCCCUUCCGGGACAUUCUCUAAAUAGCAACCGGUCAAGUUCAUCUGGUCGACACUCAACCACUGAGCCACGCCAGCCGAGCAAGAGGCCAUGCUCUUAUUUGCCAUUUUCACUGGACCUCCACUGCCCCAGCGUGCAGUGGGGCGCUUCAUACCCUUAAACAACAAUCCCUAAAGUGCACCAUCCCGAAAACUGGUCAAAGCAGUUCAGUGUAGACUGCAACGAGGCUCCACCGUCUUUGAGAACAGCCCCCUUGACUGGAACUGGCCUCCACUGCUGGCCAUCGAAAGGGAAGUGAGAAGAAGCCGCUGUGCCUGGAGUAGAAGAUAAGAGGAGAGUUGGGGAGGGACGUCUGCUGGGGUUGGGCAGGGCUGGCCUUGGGGGUGGGGGUGGAUUCUGAUCUUUAUCCUAAGAGCCAGCCACUGCCCGCUCUGUUCUGCAGGAACCCCUGCCCACAGGGGAGAGAUCUGCCCAAGGCCACACUGACCCGCCACAGCGGCCCUGGUGUCUGCCUUCCGGACUAAGAGGAGGCGCGGGGGAAAGGGGCACAGGGACAGUCCCAGCACCACCGUGGCCCUGAGAACCAGCACCUGACCCUUCCCACCGUGGGUUUCCGUCUCAGAACCGGUUUCCUUUCCCAGGGCUCUGGCUCCGACACCCAGACUGUGCGCACCCAGGUCUGCACCAAAGGGCCCCGCAGAGCCCGGCUUUCUGGCGAGAGGAAAGGCUGAGACCAGGAGGGCCGUGGUCCGCAGGGAAGCGUGUGGGGAAGUCGCUCUGUGACAUAAAGGCUUUUCCCAGAGACGGAGGGGCCUGGAAGACGGAGGGCGAAUCUGGCUGAGGUUUAAAACGAUGCCAUCUCUUUGGGGAAGAAAAGGGCGUCCCCUGGAAAUACCGCACAUCCUCAAAACACAUCCGGCCCCUUCCGUGUGACAGCACUCCUGUU